UACAGAGGGGGCAAGCGUUUAUUCGGAAUUAUUGGGCGUAAAGGGCGCGUAGGCGGCAUGGCAAGUGGAUGGUGAAAUCCCUCGGCUUAACCGAGGAACUGCCGUCCAAACUGCUUCGCUUGAGACCGGGAGAGGUGAGUGGAAUUCCCCAGUGUAGCGGUGAAAUGCGUAGAUAUUGGGAGGAACACCAGUGGCGAAGGCGGCUCACUGGACCGGUACUGACGCUGAUGCGCGAAAGCGUGGGGAGCAAACGGG
RNAcentral lists this ribosomal RNA (255 nucleotides) under uncultured bacterium. Its description in RNAcentral is "partial 16S ribosomal RNA". It matches the Rfam family "Bacterial small subunit ribosomal RNA", at positions 524 to 776 of the family's 1533-position model. The record is from RNAcentral.